RNAcentral lists this ribosomal RNA (906 nucleotides) under uncultured Planctomycetota bacterium. Its description in RNAcentral is "bacterial SSU rRNA". It matches the Rfam family "Bacterial small subunit ribosomal RNA", at positions 58 to 990 of the family's 1533-position model. The record is from RNAcentral. Lineage: Bacteria; Pseudomonadati; Planctomycetota.
CAAGUCGCUCGGGCGUAGCAAUACGUCAGUGGCGAACGGGUGAGUAAUGAAUCGCUAAUGUACCCCGGACUCUGGGAUAGCUGCCCGAAAGGGCAGGUAAUACCUGAUGACAUACCCGCCAGGCAUCUGGUGGGUCUCAAAGGUCCGCCGGUCCGGGCGCAGGCGAUUUCGUAUCAGCUAGUUGGUGCGGGUAACGGCCCACCAAGGCGACGACGCGUAGCCGGACUGAGAGGUUGGUCGGCCACAUCGGGACUGAGACACUGCCCGGACUCCUACGGGGGGCUGCAGUAACGAAUCUUCCCCAAUGCACGCAAGUGUGAGGGAGCGACGCCGCGUGUGGGACGAAGUCCUUCGGGAUGUAAACCACUGUCAGGGGAUACCAAGUUCUGAGGAUCCCCAGAGGAAGAGGCGGCUAACUCUGUGCCAGCAGCCGCGGUAAGACAGAGGCCUCGAGCGUUAGGCGGAAUCACUGGGCUUAAAGCGUGUGUAGGCGGAAGAGUAAGUACCUUGUGAAAUCCCACGGCUCACCCGUGGAACCGCUGGGUAUACUGCUCUUCUUGGGCCACUCAGGGGCGACUGGAACAAGCGGUGGAGCGGUGAAAUGCGUAGAUAUCGCUUGGAACGCCAAAGGUGAAAACAGGUCGCUGGGAGUGCGCCGACGCUGAGACACGAAAGCCAGGGGAGCAAACGGGAUUAGAUACCCCGGUAGUCCUGGCCCUAAACGAUGUCCACUAGAUCGCGGCCCCUUGACGGGGUCGCGGUCGGAGCAAAAGUGUUAAGUGGACCGCCUGGGAAGUACGGUCGCAAGGCUAAAACUCAAAGGAAUUGACGGGGGCUCACACAAGCGGUGGAGCAUGUGGUUCAAUUCGAAGCACCGCGCAAAACCUUACCUGGGCUUGACAUGCU